RNAcentral lists this long non-coding RNA (1375 nucleotides) under Heterocephalus glaber (naked mole-rat). RNAcentral's name for it is "lncRNA (ENSHGLG00000039023.1)". The record is from RNAcentral. Lineage: Eukaryota; Metazoa; Chordata; Mammalia; Rodentia; Bathyergidae.
AAAAAAGCAAAAUUUUUCAAUACAUGAAAGAACCCAACCUUUAAACUUAUCUAUCUAUGGUACUGGGGUUGAACCCAGAGCCUUUUCAGUGAGCUACAUCCCCAGUUCUUCUUUAAAUUUUUUAUUUUGAGACAGGGUCUUGCUAAGUUACUAAAUCACCUAGGCUGGGCUGGAACUUGAGAUCCUCCUGCUUCAGCCUCCCAGUGCUGGGAUGACAAGUGAGUGCCACUGUGCCCAGUUCGAUCAUGCAUAUUUUUCUAUAAAUGCUGUUGGGAUCUAUUUUUUUCUAUUUAUAAUAUGUUGGGUAUAUUUCAAAUGAUCAAAGUAUUCUAUGUUUAAAUGCCAAUAAUGCCAGGUGUGGUGGGGCAAACCUGUAAUCCCAGCACUCAGGAGGCUCAGGCAGGAUGAUCGCUUCGAGUUCUAGGUCAGUUUGGACUAUACAGCAAAACUCUCUCUCCAAAAAAAGCACCAAUAAUUAUAAUAUGAAGAAAACGUCCUCCAGCCUAAAUAAUCAGUUUAAUUAUGAAAUAUUAGUCGUAAACUUUAAAGUGUGCUGGAGUGACCCUUCCCCAUAACCCAUAGAUCUUAGGUUAAAGAGCGGAGUCUGACUAGACGUCCUCCCUGGGGUCUGCGCAGGGCAGUGCCCACCGGGCUCCAGGCCUCGCCUGUCAGAGUUGCGCCUGCGCCGGCUGAAGGCUUUCCCGCGACCAGACCCGCUCCUGGGUGUUCCCGCCAGUCACCUGGAGGCCCUCGCGUGGCUCCCGGUCCGCCGGUCUGCGUGGGGCCCCGCGGCCCCGCGGGUCCCUGGCACCAGGCGAUCACAGCAGCUGACGUCACGGGUUUACAUUUGAGCAGGUUCAGGAUCAGAGGUUACCCAAGCCAGCAAGGAACAUUGGAACUCACAGCCACCAUGCUAUGUGAGGCAGCUCUUCAGCUCCUGUUUAUUAUGAAAAGAGGAAGAUCAUGGGGAAUAAUUGUUGCAGUGUAUGACUGUGGCAGCACAGAGGAUGAACAUAUUACUCAGAGAUGGGACUGAGUCCAAGCAGAGAGCCCUAGAAGGAGGAGGUCUUCAAGAAGCAGUGCCAAUCCAAGAACUCUGGCUUUUAUUUACAUUACAAGAAGCAGUUGUGUCAAGGAAUGAGGAGGCCUGCUAUGUGACAUUGUUCAGGUUGAUAUGAGCAAUUUAUUGGGCAGGGGGAAGGACAUAGGCUGAAUCUAGCAGCUUCUCAAACCUUUACCCGUACAUCCUGGUACCUAUAUGCUUUUGCCCCAGCCGUGUUUCCCUGAUCUUUAACCCUACAUUCUAGAGCUUGUGUGCUUUUGCCCCAUAUGCCCUUUCAUAACCAUUCAGUGUUGCUUUGGUCAACCGGAUAAC